CAGCCAGCAUGGCUGUACUGUACUCCUGGAGUAUAGAAGUAAUUAAGGUUAAAUGAGGUCAUAAAAACUGGGCCCUGAUCUGAUAGUAUUAUUGUCCUUUUAAGAAGAGAUGGAGAAAGAUCACAAGCUUUAUCAUUCUCUCUCUCUCUCUCUCUCUCUCUCUUCUCUCUCUCUCUCUCUCUCUCUCCCUCCCUCCCUCUCUCUCUCUCUCUCCCUCCCUCCCUCUCUCUCUCUCUCUCUCUUCUCUCUCCCUCUCUCUCUCUCUGCCCAAGCUUAGAGGAAAGAACAUGAGGGCAAAGUGGCUGUCUGCAAGUCAGGAAGAGACCUCUCAACAGAAACUGACUCUGCUAGAACUUAAUUUGGAAUAUCUAUGCUCCAGAAUUGUUGAGAAAAUAAAUUCCUGUUGUUGAAGCCACUCAGUCUACAGUAUUUUGUUAUGGCAGCCUGAGCCACACCAAGAUGUUCCCAAUAUGCCACUUUUAAGCAAAGGAUAUGAGUUGGAGAAAAACAGAAAAUCAUAUUUUAAUUGGGCUGUGAAGUUGGAUGCAGGCCUACAAGAACUCAUAGGAAAAAGCUGCUGCUGGAUUUCUGAACUUAAUCUGCCAAGAACUUCCGUGCAACACAUGCUCACUGCAGUUUUCAAGUGAUUGCCAGUUGCUGAACUCUUUGUACACGUUUGCAAUUCAUUGUGUUACCCCCUUACUGCUGUUUCUGGCAUCUGCUCUGACUGCUGGAUUUUCGGGUAUGGAGAAGUUCAGCAAUUCUCUUUACAAACUCUCUGCCCAGUGGGAGGUGCUAUUAUUUUACUUUAUUUGGAGAAAUUAGCUAUUCCCCCAGGAAAUCAAACAAAACCCUUGUCUUUUAUACUUCCCCAUUUUCUCACUCUGACUGAAGUUGAAAGGUAUUUCACCCAGGGGCUACGAGGAUAGCAGAAACAUUUUUUGUUGAUUUUAUUUUAAACACCAGACUCUCCACUAAAUGUGGGUAUAAACUCCAACUUCACAGAAUUAAGAUCUAGCUAAUGGCUAAUGUUGCCUGAGUACCUAAGUGCCAAAUUUGUAUGCUAAAUAUUCUACCCAAUUUAUUUUAAUUAAUUUCUACAACAAACCUAUAAAAUAAGCAUCAUUAUCCCCCCUUAUUCAGAUAAAUAAACUAAAGUUUGAAAGUUAACA
Molecule: long non-coding RNA, 1172 nt
Filed under: Felis catus (domestic cat)
Lineage: Eukaryota; Metazoa; Chordata; Mammalia; Carnivora; Felidae
Description: lncRNA (ENSFCAG00000042384.2)
Source: RNAcentral